GACGAACGCUGGCGGCGUGCUUAACACAUGCAAGUCGAACGAUGAAGCCGGAGCUUGCUCUGGUGAAUUAGUGGCGAACGGGUGAGUAACACGUGAGUAACCUGCCCUUGACCCUGGGAUAACUGCGGGAAACUGUAGCUAAUACCGGAUACGACCCUCGGAGGCAUCUCCUGGGGGUGGCAAGACUUUCGGUCAAGGAUGGACUCGCGGCCUAUCAGCUAGUUGGUGAGGUAAAGGCUCACCAAGGCGACGACGGGUAGCCGGCCUGAGAGGGUGAACGGCCACACUGGGACUGAGAGACGGCCCAGACUCCUACGGGGGGCAGCAGGGGAGAAUCUUGCACAAUGGGGGCAAGCCUGUGGCAGCAACGCCGGGGGAGGGAUGUCGGCCUUCGGGUUGGAAACCUCUUUUAGCAGGGAAGAUGCGAAAGUGACGGUACCUGCAGAAUAAGCACCGGCUAACUACGUGCCAGCCGCCGCCGUAA
RNAcentral lists this ribosomal RNA (484 nucleotides) under uncultured bacterium. RNAcentral describes it as "partial 16S ribosomal RNA". It matches the Rfam family "Bacterial small subunit ribosomal RNA", at positions 28 to 523 of the family's 1533-position model. The record is from RNAcentral.